AUAGUCCCUGAGCUUCCAGUUGAAUUUGCUUUGGUAGCCUCCACUGUCAUUAUGGAAGGGUUGAAAGUGCAAAGAAUUUUGGUUUUCUAAUGAUCUUGCUUCGCCAUGGCAACCAAUAUGGAGGUGCUGGCUCAGCAGGUAAUGGAGACUCAGCAGGUGGCUGAGGAAAUGCACCGUGGUAACAUAGUGUGAUGGUUGUAUCUUGCCACUGGAGAGAUCUCUUCAUCCCAAGAAUUUAUGAAGCUCUGUGAUUUCUUCC
This 259-nucleotide long non-coding RNA is filed under the name Gallus gallus (chicken). RNAcentral describes it as "long non-coding RNA NONGGAT002261". Lineage: Eukaryota; Metazoa; Chordata; Aves; Galliformes; Phasianidae. The record is from RNAcentral.